AUAAAGGCAUCAGGAAGGGGUUUAACAGCAACCCAUUUUCCAUCUUUCUUAAUUUGGAGAUCAUCCAUCUCAUUGAUUUGGAGGAGGAUGGUGAGUACGGAGCCAUCAGAAUGAGGCUUAAAGCCAGGAACUUGCUCUGGUUGCGGACAAGGAGGAUAAUAAUUCAUCCUUAAUGAUUGCAUCCCGUUUUCAGACAACUCUAUCAUGUCAUUGGGAUCCAUUCUUAGAGCUUUAGCCAUUAGGUCAAGGAUUUUCAAGGUAAGAUUUUUAAGUUCCGUUAAGUAAACUUCCAAGUCAUCUCUGCAUGCAAAUAACGAUAUAUAGUCCAGUAAUUAUCAUAUGAUAGAAUAUACUAUGUAGCAAAACUCUACGAUUUAAAUAUAGAACCUGAAUGGGAGAGGCAACUUGGGGAACAAGUGGGGUUUCCUCAGAUGGGUUGGGAGAGUGAACAUAGUAAAGCCGUAUCCCCAAUCAAGCUUCUGCUCCUCAGACGUAAUAAAAAGCUGCCCAAAUCCCUCAAUAUCCCCUGGCUGCUGCCAAAAUUUCUUUUUCUCAUCAAUUGGAAGAUUAAAGAAGUCUUGAAUCCUUCUUUCACUUUCUCCACCAAUGAACUGCUCACUCCAUGAUUCAUCAACUGCAUAUAUGCAGAUUAAAACAAGCUGUUCUUUCCAUACAUGGUUCUUAUAGGAAACUUAAAGCUCAGGAAAUAAAAUGAUUUUUAUGGAAAAUGCUAAAAACACCGAGAGCCGAAAGAACGCUAACAAAAGCAAUGAUUCAAGUAUUUUUAUUAUCUGAAUAUCACUGCUCAAUUAUUAUGUACCUGAAAGAAACCCCAGUCUUUACAUGCAUGCUCAAGCUUCUCAAGCUCUGAGUCAUCCCCAGAGAGCAGCCUGUGCAUGUCAAUGACUGGAAGUUGUCGUGUUGAAGAAUCGUCGUUGCGAAUCAGGGGAUGGUCUAUCUCAGCGCGAACAUAACGUGGAGGAACUGUGAUCAGUGGCUGAUUAUUUGCCAGCUCCAGAAUCGAAGGCUCCACCAGAGAACUCCCAAUAACUGUUGCUUUGGUCCCCAUAUUAUAUAGAUUUAGAUUAACUGAUUUCUAGCUAUUACCUUUUUGUUUCUUUUCUCUGCUGUAGACUCAGCUGGUCUGUGUUUUAACGAGAAAUUCAUGUAUAAAUAAUCCUCAGGAUGUACUGUACUGUAAUUGUGUGCUUUAAAAUAUCAAUUUUAAUAUGAAAAUUCGAGAGAAUUUUGACUUUUA
Molecule: long non-coding RNA, 1258 nt
Filed under: Citrus maxima (pomelo)
Lineage: Eukaryota; Viridiplantae; Streptophyta; Magnoliopsida; Sapindales; Rutaceae
Description: long non-coding RNA (CMAX_LNC001490)
Source: RNAcentral